Melospiza melodia melodia is the source of this 3203-nucleotide long non-coding RNA. RefSeq lists it as uncharacterized. The record is from RefSeq and is a predicted model, not a curated record. The transcript is spliced from 2 exons. Lineage: Eukaryota; Metazoa; Chordata; Aves; Passeriformes; Passerellidae.
GGGGGUUCCUGUGGGAUCUGCUGGAGGUUCCUGUGGGAUCUGCUGGGGGUUCCUGUGGGAUCUGCUGGAGGUUCCUGUGGGAUCUGCUGGAGGUUCUUGUGGGAUCUCCUGGAUGUUCUCACGGGACCUGCUGGGUGUUCCCGUGGGAUCUGCUGGGUGUUGUCAUGGGUUCUUCUGGAUGUUCCUCUGGGAUUUGGUGGAUGCUUCCCAUGGGAUCUGCUGGGUGUUCCUGUGGGAUCUCCUGGAUGUUUACGUGGAAUUUGGUGGGUUCCCAUGGGAUCUGCUGGAGGUUCCUGUGGGAUCUGUUGGUUGUUCCUGUGGGAUCUGGUAGGUGUUCCUGUGAGAUCUUCUGGAGCUUUCCAUGGAAUUUGCUGGAGGUUCCUGUGGCAUCUGCUGGAGGUUCCUGUGGGAUCUGCUGGAGGUUCCCGUGGGAUUUGGUGGAUGCUUCCCAUGGGAUCUUCGGGGUGCUCCCGUGAGAUCUUUUGGAUGUUCCUGUGGGAUGUUCUGGAAGUUUACGUGGAAUUUGGUGGAUUCCCAUGGGAUCUGCUGGAGGUUCCUGUGGGAUCUGCUGGAGGUUCCUGUAGGAUCUGGUAGGUGUUCCUGUGAGAACUUCUGGAGCUUUCCAUGGAAUUUGCUGGAGGUUCCCAUGGGGUCUGUUGGUUGUUCCUGUGAGAUCUUCUGGAGCUUUCCAUGGAAUUUGGUGGAUGCUUCCCAUGGGAUCUGCUGGGUGUUCCUGUGGGAUCUCCUGGAAGUUUACGUGGAAUUUGGUGGGUUCCCAUGGGAUCUGCUGGAGGUUCCUGUGGCAUCUGCUGGAGGUUCCCGUGGGAUCUGCUGGAGGUUCCCAUGGAAUUUGGUGGAUGCUUCCCAUGGGAUCUUCGGGAUGUUCCCAUGAGAUCAUCUGGAUGUUCGUGUGUGAUCUGGUGGGUGUUCCCAUGGGAUCUGUUGGAGGCUCCUCUGAGAUCUGCUGGAUGCUUCCCCUGGGAUCUGUUGGAUGUUCCUGUGAGAUCUUCUGGAGGUUUCCAUGGAAUUUGGUGGAUGCUUCCCGUGGGAUCUUCUGGAGGUUUCCAUGGAAUUUGGUGGAUGCUUCCCGUGGGAUCUUCUGGAGGUUCCCGUGGGAUCUGCUGGAUGUUCCUGUGGGAUCUCAGGACGUUCCCCUGGGAUCUGGUGGCCCUGGCUCCCUCCUGGACACUUCUCCUGUUGCUUUUCUCCUCUGAGCAGUCUUAACUGUCCCAGCUCUCCCCAUCGAGCAGCUCCCUGGAAUUCCCACCAACCCCCCCAGGUCCCUGUGGGAUCUCCUUGGGGUUCCCCGAGUUCCUUUUGGGGUUUCCUGGGAGAAUUUGGGGUUCCUGAGAACCUUUUGGGGUUACCUGAGAUCCUUUUGUGGUUUCCUGAGGGUCCUUUGGGGUUUCUCGAGAGCUUUUUUGGGAUCUCCUGAGAUCCCUUUGGGGUCCCUGAGAUCCUUUUGGGGUUUCCUGAGAGCUUUUUGGGGUUCCCUGAGAUCUUUUGGGGUUCCCUGAGAUCCUUUUGGGGUCUCCUGAGAACAUUUUGGGUUUCCUGAGAACUUUCUGGGGUCUCCUGAGAACUUUUUGUGGCUUCCUGAGAUCCUUUUGGGGUUUCCUGAGAACUUUUGGGGUUUCCUGAGAUCCUUUUGGGGUUUCCUGAGGGUCUUUUGGGGUUUCUUGAGAGCUUUUUUGGGAUCUCCUGAGAUCCCUUUGUGGUCCCUGAGAUCCUUUUGAGGUUCCCUGAGAGCUUUUUGGGGUUCCCUGAGAUCUUUUGGGGUCUCCUGAGAACAUUUUGGGGUUCCUGAGAGCUUUCUGGGGUCUCCUGAGAACUUUUUGGGGCUUCCUGAGAUCCUUUUGGGGUUUCCUGGGAACCUUUUGGGGUUUCCUGAGAUCCUUUUGGGUUUUCCACCUAAAUAUUCCCCUUAAAUUCAUCAUUUUUGGGAAUUUCAGAGCCCCCCCCCCCUUGAGAAAUUCACAUUUUUUUUCACCGCAAUUCAAUUUCAUUUAACCAUUUUUUUUUGGUGCUUCCACUUAAAUAUUCCCCUUAAAUUCCACAUUUUUGUGAGUUUCAGAACCCCCUUUAAUGAAUUCACAUUUCAGCCACAAUUCACGUCUAAUUUUACCAAAUUUUUUGGUUUUCCACUUAAAUAUUCCCCUUAAAUUCAGCAUUUUUAUGAAUUUCAGAGCCCCCCCUUGAGGAAUUCACUUUUCACCCACAAUUCACAUCUAAUUUAACCUUUUGUUUUUCUUUUUCCACUUAAAUAUUCCCCUUAAAUUCCACAUUUUUGUGAAUUUCAGAACCCCCUUUAAAGAAUUCACAUUUCAGCCACAAUUCAUGUCUAAUUUUACCAAUUUUUUUGUUUUUCCACUUAAAUAUUCCCCUUGAAUUCAGCAUUUUUAUGAAUUUCAGAGCCCCCCCUUGAGGAAUUAACUUUUCACCCACAAUUCACAUCUAAUUUAAAUAAUUUUUUUCGUUUUUCCACUGAAAAUUCCCCUUAAAUUCCACAUUUUUUGAAUUUCAGAGGCCCCCCCCCUUGAGGAAUUAACUUUUCAGCCAAAAUUCAAUCUAAUUUAACCUUUUGUUUUUAUUUUUCCACUUAAAUAUUCCCCUUAAAUUCCACAUUUUUGUGAGUUUCAGAACCCCCUUUAAUGAAUUCACUUUUCAGCCACAAUUCACAUCUAAUUUUACCAAAUUUUUUGGUUUUCCACUUAAAUAUUCCCCUUAAAUUCAGCAUUUUUAUGAAUUUCAGAGCCCCCCUUGAGGAAUUCACUUUUCACCCACAAUUCACAUCUAAUUUAAAUAAUUUUUUUCGUUUUUCCACUUAAAAUUCCCCUUAAAUUCCACAUUUUUAUGAAUUUCAGAGCCCCCCCUUGAGGAAUUCACUUUUCAGCCAAAAUUCAAUCUAAUUUAACCUUUUGUUUUUAUUUUUCCACUUAAAUAUUCCCCUUAAAUUCCACAUUUUUAUGAAUUUCAGAGCCCCCCUUGAAUUCACCAUUUUCAGCCAAAAUUCAAUCUAAUUUAAACAUUCUUUUCAUUUUUCCACUUGGAUAUUUCCCUUAAAUACAGAAUUUUUGUGAAUUUCAGAGCCCCCCCCUUGAGAAAUUCACUUUUCAGCCACAAUUCACAUCUAAUUUUACCUUUUUUUAAAAUGUUUUUCCCCUUAAAUAUUCCCCUUAAAUUCAGCGUUUUUUCAGGAAAAA